AACGAACGCUGGCGGCAUGCCUAACACAUGCAAGUCGAACGAGACCUUCGGGUCUAGUGGCGCACGGGUGCGUAACGCGUGGGAACCUGCCCUUAGGUUCGGAAUAACUCCCCGAAAGGGGUGCUAAUACCGGAUAAUGUCUUCGGACCAAAGAUUUAUCGCCUUUGGAUGGGCCCGCGUUGGAUUAGCUAGUUGGUAGGGUAAAAGCCUACCAAGGCGACGAUCCAUAGCUGGUCUGGGAGGAUGAUCAGCCACACUGGGACUGAGACACGGCCCAGACUCCUACGGGAGGCAGCAGUGGGGAAUAUUGGACAAUGGGCGGAAGCCUGAUCCAGCAAUGCCGCGUGAGUGAUGAAGGCCUUAGGGUUGUAAAGCUCUUUUACCCGGGAUGAUAAUGACAGUACCGGGAGAAUAAGCUCCGGCUAACUCCGUG
Molecule: ribosomal RNA, 433 nt
Filed under: uncultured bacterium
Lineage: Bacteria
Description: partial 16S ribosomal RNA
Rfam family: Bacterial small subunit ribosomal RNA
Source: RNAcentral